AACGCUGUAUCUGCCACCAUUUACAAGCAAGACAAAAGAGACGUUUGAAAUCAAACAAACAUUGUAGAAGAGUCUAUUUUCAACAUUCGUAUUUCAAGAUGAUUCGUGUUCUGCUUUUGUGUCUAUGGAUUCUGACAAUUCUUGAGAGUAUCACGGCGAAAGUACAAUGGAAGCAAAAAUUGGACAUUAAAGAUAAAUUGUUAGGUAAGCAUUCUUUGUAUCAGCAAUAUGAUGUAUACUUUGGCAGUCUCACUAGAAAGCGCUUUCCAAAGGAGCAUGUACAUGCAAGAAGCUAACAUCGCCAAACACUUUUUGUGAUGAAAGCACACAAUAAAAACAUUUCAAAUAGAAGCUAUAUUUAGUUAUUUCGCAACAAUUCAAAGACAUUUGAAAAAAGACACCACAUAAAAUAAUGUGUGGUCGUACAUAUUAACAGUGUCAUAAAAAGAGGUGUAUAACUUGUACGUAACUCUUCUGUUUUGAAUUAAAUUAAGCAUCAUGGCUGGCCGUUUAAAUCUGAAUAAAUUUCUUCAAGUAGUAUUUAACAUCAUUUGAAAAGAAGUAAGUUAGUAGUUGGGUGGGCGACUUCCUAGUUCCUGAACAGUAACUCAUAGAAUUUCAACCAAACUUCGACUUCAGGUAAGUCUCGUUUAAUUUUCUAAUUCUAUUUCGUCACUGUUCUACGUCACUAGGAAGUCAUGUGAGAUUUUAAAGCAAUGUGGACAUGAGCAAUAACUAAUAACAAAACAAUAUAAUUGAAAUUUCACAUUUCAUGUCUCACAAAUGGCAGAAAGUAGAUCAUUGCCAAAGUUCUUCGCCUCAAAGUAUGAAUUCAAGUAAGUGCCUUCAUCAAUAAACUUUUUUAAAUCACAUAUUUACACUGCGUGUAACGAUAAUACGCAAACAGUUAAUUUCAUCAGAUAAAAGAUAGUAGCUAUAUGCCAAAACCAAGUCAUAGUGUAAGAUAGAAAAGUUGUUGUAGUUUUGCACAGAUUGCCGAAUACAGAUGAAUGAUUUAACCAAUUAGUAAAUUCUUAUAAUAUCAUUUACUUAAUUACAAAAUACAGUACGUGUAACAAUUAAAGAAAUGUUUUGCAAGGAAGUCAGAAUAUGCUUUACUAUUCAUCUUCACCCUUUCCUCGACCAAAAAUGGUCCAAUUAACAUUUUUUCACAGA
This is a long non-coding RNA of Xenia sp. Carnegie-2017, 1176 nucleotides long. RefSeq lists it as uncharacterized. Lineage: Eukaryota; Metazoa; Cnidaria; Anthozoa; Malacalcyonacea; Xeniidae. The transcript is spliced from 3 exons. The record is from RefSeq and is a predicted model, not a curated record.